This 468-nucleotide ribosomal RNA is filed under the name uncultured bacterium. RNAcentral describes it as "partial 16S ribosomal RNA". It matches the Rfam family "Bacterial small subunit ribosomal RNA", at positions 28 to 507 of the family's 1533-position model. The record is from RNAcentral.
GACGAACGCUGGCGGCGUGCUUAACACAUGCAAGUCGAACGGAAAGGCCCUGCUUUUGUGGGGUGCUCGAGUGGCGAACGGGUGAGUAACACGUGAGUAACCUGCCCUUGACUUUGGGAUAACUUCAGGAAACUGGGGCUAAUACCGGAUAGGAGCUCCUGCCGCAUGGUGGGGGUUGGAAAGUUUCGGCGGUUGGGGAUGGACUCGCGGCUUAUCAGCUUGUUGGUGGGGUAGUGGCUUACCAAGGCUUUGACGGGUAGCCGGCCUGAGAGGGUGACCGGCCACCUUGGGACUGAGAUACGGCCCAGACUCCUACGGGAGGCAGCAGUGGGGAAUAUUGCACAAUGGGCGGAAGCCUGAUGCAGCAACGCCGCGUGCGGGAUGACGGCCUUCGGGUUGUAAACCGCUUUCGCCUGUGACGAAGCGUGAGUGACGGUAAUGGGUAAAGAAGCACCGGCUAACUACGUG